Molecule: ribosomal RNA, 431 nt
Filed under: beta proteobacterium SCGC AAA023-E05
Lineage: Bacteria; Pseudomonadati; Pseudomonadota; Betaproteobacteria
Description: bacterial SSU rRNA
Rfam family: Bacterial small subunit ribosomal RNA
Source: RNAcentral
GUGGGGAAUUUUGGACAAUGGGCGAAAGCCUGAUCCAGCCAUUCCGCGUGAGUGAAGAAGGCCUUCGGGUUGUAAAGCUCUUUCGCAAGGGAAGAAAACUUAUCCUCUAACAUAGGAUGAGGUUGACGGUACCUUGAUAAGAAGCACCGGCUAACUACGUGCCAGCAGCCGCGGUAAUACGUAGGGUGCGAGCGUUAAUCGGAAUUACUGGGCGUAAAGCGUGCGCAGGCGGUUUUGUAAGUCAGAUGUGAAAUCCCCGAGCUCAACUUGGGAACUGCGUCCGAAACUACAAGACUAGAAUAUGUCAGAGGGGGGUAGAAUUCCACGUGUAGCAGUGAAAUGCGUAGAGAUGUGGAGGAAUACCAAUGGCGAAGGCAGCCCCCUGGGAUAAUAUUGACGCUCAUGCACGAAAGCGUGGGGAGCAAACAGGA